AACUACCAGGCACCACUCAGGAAACUUCUCUUUCCGUUCUCUAACUUCCCCAAGACCCUGUCAGGCAUGGAACUCUCUGUAUCCUCUGUGGACACCCACCUACCUGUGGCAGAGCCUAGGAACACACAGGACUCGGCUCUCUCAAGAGAUUCCAAGUGGACCGAGGACAGGAAGCCUUCCUUCAAUGAGCACUGAAAGUCUCCAGAGGCUCUCCUCCACACUGCUGACAUCUUCCAUGAUGAAGCCUAGAAGAAAAUCACUCUCCCUGCCUCCUGGAGACACGCCUAUCUAUGCUCUUCCAAAUCUCCCUCUCUACAAAGCUUCCUGGAGACUUUUGCUAUGGCUAAAAUGAGAGCUUCCUGGUGAUGGGGGUGGGUGUGGAGGACCUGACUUCAUGGACCUGCUUGUCAGGCCACUUUAAAGGACGGUACUGCCACCUUCCCAAUGGUUCUUACACAAUGCUCUUACCAACCACGCUCUGGCAUGCCCCUGAGCCCUAAUCCACACACACGAAGCACCACUCCAAACCUUGUACUCACCUGAGCUGGAUCUGAAGGAUGGAGCCCUAAAAGGCUUCCCUAUAUGCAAACCUGUCCUUCCUCUACAUCCCAGAGCUGACGACCAUAACUCGUACAUACUGUGCCUCUCAGGCACUGCUAUGACUUCUCACAGUACUGGGCCACAAUAAUCCCAGGUACACACACACACACACACACACACACACA
Peromyscus eremicus (cactus mouse) is the source of this 725-nucleotide long non-coding RNA. RefSeq lists it as uncharacterized. The transcript has 2 exons. Lineage: Eukaryota; Metazoa; Chordata; Mammalia; Rodentia; Cricetidae. The record is from RefSeq and is a predicted model, not a curated record.